RNAcentral lists this unclassified non-coding RNA (279 nucleotides) under Hevea brasiliensis (rubber tree). Lineage: Eukaryota; Viridiplantae; Streptophyta; Magnoliopsida; Malpighiales; Euphorbiaceae. The record is from RNAcentral.
UAGAGGAAAAGAUAAUCUUCAGUCUGCUGCUUCUAAGGGUACUAUGGUCCCCCCAUCUGAUGUGUCUCUUCCUCCUACUGAUCAUCCUAAGCCUAUUAUAAAUGGUCCCAAGGCUCCUCCUCCUGUGCAGAAGAAGCUAGAGCUGGAACAAUUGAGGGAUGAGCUCCGCAAGAAGCAGGAGUUGCUGGACCAGAAGCGAAAUGACUUCCGGCGCCAAUUGGACAAACUCGAGAAACAAGCUACAGGAGUUAAAGGUGAGGUAGUGGCUGAGCCUGCUUC